UGUGACUGCGAUGAAAACCAUUAGGUGCGAACGAGAAAUGACUCGAUUCCAACGCAUCAAAGAAAUCCUUAGAUUAAUGAAAUUACGCAAGAAAACUCUGUUGAUACUUCUGUUUACAAUAUGUUUGUUGCUGUUUGUUGAUGAAAAAAACAUACUUGAUAGAAGUCAGCAACGGAUAUUCAGCAAGAGUAUGACGUUCAUAAGAUACAAUGGAAAAUAUAUUUCAACUGAGUUUGAACAUUUUUAUAUGAAUGUAUCACCCUAUAAACUGAUGGACCCUCUCAUUCACAAACAUCAAUACAGUACGCUACUAAAUACUGGUAAGGAGUGUAAAGAACAGAAUAAGUUCCUGUUAGUUCUUGUUUAUUCGGCAACAUAUAAAUUUGACGGACGUCAGAUAAUAAGGAAUACGUUUGGAUCGAUCUCACAUUUUGCCAAUAGAGAUAUUGAGUAUGUUUUUGUGCUAGGGCAAACUAAUAAUGAUACACUGCAAGGACAAAUUGAAAAGGAAAGUGUCAGAUACAGGGAUAUCAUACAAGGAAAUUUUAUAGACAGCUACAGAAAUUUAACAUACAAAAGAGUAUUUAGCUUGUUCUGGGUAAAUAAAUUCUGUGAAAAUGCGAUUUAUGUUAUCAAAAUUGACGAUGAUAUUACUAUUAAUAUUCCAUUUCUGAUUCCUUACCUUAACAAUAAGAUGAAUAAGAACAUCACAACUGCUUUAGAAUGUUUUACUAUUUUUGGAUCAAGGCCGUACCGUGAACCUCAUAGCAAAUGGUAUACGCCUGUCUCAGACUAUCGGUUUCCAACGUUUCCCCCGUUUUGUGCAGGACCAUCCUCCAUUAUGUCCAUUAAUGUAAUUAGACGAAUGUAUGACGCGACACGUAUUGUUCCGUUUUUUUGGCUAGAAGAUGUUUAUGGAAGUGGAUUUAUUCCCUGGAUUUUAAACAUAGAAAUAGUUCGGCCGAAUUGUUAUUUAAAGGAUGUGCAGGAAAGUUUCAAUGAAAAGCCAUGCCAUUUGUUUUACAUAAAUAAUUUAAAGAAUGCUAGUGAUUCAUAUAUGAUGUGGAAGACUAUAGAAACACAUAACAAGUUUAAGCAAAAUUGCAAGUGUUGGUAAAAUGAUGUUUCAUUCUAAACACCAGUUAAACCGUAUCCCCUUUCAAAAAGAAGAAAAUAAAUACAUAGAGGGAAGUGAUCACAAUCGUUUGAUUCUAUAUAAAAUGAAGAACAGGGGGUUUCAACAUGGAGUUUAGAAAAAGUUCCUGUAUUUCAUUUUUUUCUUGGUUGCUUUUUAUGAAGGUAAUAAAAAAAUGACUUUUCCUACGAAGAUGAAUGGUCGGUACCUUAGAAAAUCGUUCUAUCUUAUUAAAACAGGCUAAACAAUAGGCAAACACAGGAUUUUAAAAAAAUGAUUGAUUGUCGGUUGUUUGACAUCCAGUGGCCAAUAUUUCAUGCAUGUUCAUGACGAGAACAAAUUCCCAAUAAAUACAAUAGGUAGGUCAUGCAAUAGAGGCCAUCCGAAAUGAAGAUCGGGACAAUUUGCACUGCCACUGGAAAAUAUUGGAUAGGGACAGAAAUUUUGCCCUGCAACAGGACACCUCAAAGAAUUGUUGCAACGGAUCUUAACUCGCAGAUAGUGUGACACUCUCUCUACAUGAGGCAUCAGAUUUAAUGUCCCCAUACUGACCAGACGUGGCUGAGUACUUGUACAUCCCGCACAGCCAAACGGACGCCCCACUUUAUGGUUUUACGGCUGAUCGGAAGAAUACCUUAGUGACAAUAUUUCUAUUCCCUAGACAUCCACAGGGUGAUUUUGGAAAUGAAUAAUCUGGACUUGAACUAACUGUAAAAAAUACUCUUGUCAUAGACGUGAUGAAAAUGAAUAUUACCAAAUGCAAGACGACUUUGGAAGAUAUUGUCGUGUAUAAAAAGUGAAGAUAGUUUUCGCGCUGAAAAGAUAAUCCGUACUAUCAACCGGAAAAAAUAAUAUUCUAUCAGCAAACAAUCCCCACUCCCACUGAGAAUCAAAUGGUCCACUAAGGCUUAUAAAUUUUAUCAUGUGUUUAAAUGAGUAAUUUUGAGUUUUCGUCAUACAUGUCAUAUAAAUAGGUAAAUAACUUAAUUCAUAAAAUCAUUAUAAUCAUUUUUAUUCAAUAUAUGUAACUUCCUAAAAUAUUCAUAAUAAAA
RNA transcript from Mytilus californianus (California mussel), 2187 nucleotides. It is a transcript of the gene named beta-1,3-galactosyltransferase 5-like, with no coding region annotated. The record is from RefSeq and is a predicted model, not a curated record. Lineage: Eukaryota; Metazoa; Mollusca; Bivalvia; Mytilida; Mytilidae. The transcript is spliced from 2 exons.